This is a long non-coding RNA of Triticum aestivum (bread wheat), 2545 nucleotides long. RefSeq lists it as uncharacterized. The record is from RefSeq and is a predicted model, not a curated record. The transcript has 7 exons. NCBI's taxonomy places the organism in Eukaryota, Viridiplantae, Streptophyta, Magnoliopsida, Poales, Poaceae.
AACUAGGUUGUCAUCGAUCUAUUCGCGGAUCCCUUCAUCCCCAAUUCUGCUCUGCCUAGGGUUACGAGAGAGACUCCUCCGCCACUGUGGGAUCCCUCCGCAGCCGAUUGUUGUGGCCAUGGCGCCCCUCCCAUCUCCUCGACGUGCUACACUACCGGAACGCUAUGAGCUGCUCCGGGACCUUGUCUUCGCUCCCAAGGCGAGCACUUGCGCCACUUCCGCCGGCUUUGCUCCCCGUUGGAAGGUCACGCCGGUGAUGGUGGUGGUUCACCGGCCAGAUUUCGUCGGAGAGGAGGAGGUUGACCGGCCAGAUCCUGAUCCUCCUUGCACCACCGUCGUGCCGUUGCCCCAAUGCUCCUCUCGAUGCGCCUCCACCGCAUCCCAGUAAUUUCUAAAUCCAAUCUUCGUCUCGCUGUCUCAUCUCACAGCAUGCCGCCUCCCCUUUUCAAGAUGGGGAGCCCGAGCGACCUCGAGCAACUGUCGCCGUCGCCGUCACGUAUGGCUCGGCGAGCUCGUACAGCGUGUGCCCCGCCCUCCCUCCUCCGUGUGCCCCUGUCUACUCCUAUGCCCCUAUUAGCCACGAAGGUGAUGCUUGUUUACAAGCAACAUACUCUCGUCUAUGGAUUCUCAAUCUCAGGAAAUGAAUCUUGGGGGAUGCAUUUACCUUCAUGGAGAUGAUUCGAGGGUGCAAUUUUCUGACCCGUUCUUUUCUUUAAUGGUAGGGAAUGCUCACCUUAGACUCUUUACGGUGGGUAGCUUGAUGUUGUUGAGGUACCAAAGUCUGAAUGCUCUCGAAUAUUGUUGAUCGAGUCAAUGGAUGUUUCCUGGUUGCUCUUAUGGUGAGUAUCAGGUGGUUCUCUUCGACGGUGAUGUCGCCAACACAGCAGAUGCAGCUUGCGGAUCCCACGGCAUGACUCAGAUGCUGACGAUGAACCGGACUACCUGUUGUAAUUUGAACACCUAAAAAAGGUUCUUGGACCCGCUGCAACGCGUGUUCUACAACAACAAUACCGGGCGCGAGGCACUGGUGAAGAAGUGCGCAGAUGAGCACAUGCAGCAGUGCAAGGUGCUCCGCGGUGGCCCCCGUGUCGUCGAGUACAUCCAUAUACAACUUCUCCUUCUACAGAGUUCUCCUUUGCUUUCUUGCACAUGUGCUCUGCCGGACUAACGCACAUACACUAAGUAGCUCUUUUCUUCAUUUGGGGUUUCCUUCGCAGGGUGAUUCCCAGGGCUCUCAACCUGUCGAGGUACGCAAUCUUGAUGCUUUAGAUUUCUAUCUAUGUAAUCUACAUCUUAGCAUUGUGUACGUGUAGUAUCUAAGAGUAAGAAAUAUAUUGUCCGGUUCAGUCAUGUGGUGUGUAUUGGUGUUUGGAAUUCAGUCAUGUACUCAUUCAUACUGAAACUAAAGUCUGAAAGGCUGGUGGAGGACGUUGUGGAGAGUGUCGCUGAAGGUGGGUCUGUCCGGCUGUCACUACUGCUGGAGCUACAGCGCCGGUACACGAAGAUCAACGGGAAGGUGGCCAUCGCCGAGACCCGAUUGAGCCUCAUGCAGGAGGACAUGUACAUACUAACAUAAACAAGAUGAUAGAGAAGUUCUCUGCUCUUCAGCUCAAAGUGAAGGAGGUGAAUGCAUUGUUCACCAUGAAGCAGAAUCAGUCCUCCAAAAGGCCUGCUAGGACAGCAAGGGCAAGUGCACGAUGGUGCCCUGAAGCAUCACGGUGAACAUGGUAGUGUCAGGUUGUUGAUGGAGCGAUUCAAAUUGGUAAUCGAUGUUAUUGACAGUUAGUAUUGUACAUAAAUUUUCUUUGUAAGAGGUACUGAUGUUAUGCAGACAGAGAUUCCGCCCAUUUGAUACCUUAGGUUUGAAGGUCGAGUACCACGCCGCCGCCAUUGCAACCGCUCUAGGAUACCAUUAAUGGGAUAUCACUUAAACGCCCUCGUUGCUGGAUCAAAGCGUUGCAGAGUACGCAGGCAGUCUUCGAGUGGCGGGAUGAGGACACGUCUAGAAUGGUGAUGGCGCCAUGGAGUGCAACAAGUAUUCCCAAGGCAACAUUUAUAUGCAGCAUAGCCAGGAUGUCUGGGGUAGCAUUGGAAACAGCCACAUAAAGGGCCUAAACAAUCAAGUAGGUAUGCUUUUAAAGUGGCAGUGGACUAAAGAUGAGCACAGGGUUGUAUACACCAUGCUUAGAAAGGAUGUCUCGGAGAGUGUUGAAUGAUGGAGUGACAAAGAGGUGUCGGCUUUAGCUCGUGUUCCUAUUUAGACUAUGCAACCCAUCUAGGAAAGAAGGCAAGAAGGUGGUGUCGUUCAAGACAUCAAGAGCAAGAAACCAAAGAUUUAUGGACGGAAGAGGAUCACAUUUAAUUCUAAUGAUAGAACCGAAGAUCUCUUACACAAUAGAUUUUGUGCCAGACAAACUACCGUCGAAAACCAAAGUAUGAUCUUGAUAGCUUGAAACAAGUAGACUACUAUCACAUGACCUUGAUUUGUGUUAUAACAACGUGUAUUUGUAAGUGUAAAACAUAUCCAUAUUAUUUAUCUCCCGUA